This 468-nucleotide ribosomal RNA is filed under the name uncultured bacterium. Its description in RNAcentral is "partial 16S ribosomal RNA". It matches the Rfam family "Bacterial small subunit ribosomal RNA", at positions 28 to 507 of the family's 1533-position model. The record is from RNAcentral.
GACGAACGCUGGCGGCGUGCUUAACACAUGCAAGUCGAACGGAAAGGCCCUGCUUUUGUGGGGUGCUCGAGUGGCGAACGGGUGAGUAACACGUGAGUAACCUGCCCUUGACUUUGGGAUAACUUCAGGAAACUGGGGCUAAUACCGGAUAGGAGCUCCUGCUGCAUGGUGGGGGUUGGAAAGUUUCGGCGGUUGGGGAUGGACGCGCGGCUUAUCAGCUUGUUGGUGGGGUAGUGGCUUACCAAGGCUUUGACGGGUAGCCGGCCUGAGAGGGUGACCGGACACAUUGGGACUGAGAGAGGGCCCAGACUCCUACGGGAGGCAGCAGUGGGGAAUAUUGCACAAUGGGCGGAAGCCUGAUGCAGCAACGCCGCGUGCGGGAUGACGGCCUUCGGGUUGUAAAACGCUUUCGCCUGUGACGAAGCGUGAGUGACGGUAAUGGGUAAAGAAGCACCGGCUAACUACGUG